GAUGAACGCUGGCGGCGUGCCUAAUACAUGCAAGUCGAGCGAACAGACGAGGAGCUUGCUCCUCUGACGUUAGCGGCGGACGGGUGAGUAACACGUGGAUAACCUACCUAUAAGACUGGGAUAACUUCGGGAAACCGGAGCUAAUACCGGAUAAUAUAUUGAACCGCAUGGUUCAAUAGUGAAAGACGUGUUUGCUGUCACUUAUAGAUGGAUCCGCGCCGCAUUAGCUAGUUGGUAAGGUAACGGCUUACCAAGGCGACGAUGCGUAGCCGACCUGAGAGGGUGAUCGGCCACACUGGAACUGAGACACGGUCCAGACUCCUACGGGAGGCAGCAGUAGGGAAUCUUCCGCAAUGGGCGAAAGCCUGACGGAGCAACGCCGCGUGAGUGAUGAAGGUCUUCGGAUCGUAAAACUCUGUUAUUAGGGAAGAACAAAUGUGUAAGUAACUAUGCACGUCUUGACGGUACCUAAUCAGAAAGCCACGGCUAACUACGUG
Molecule: ribosomal RNA, 497 nt
Filed under: uncultured bacterium
Lineage: Bacteria
Description: partial 16S ribosomal RNA
Rfam family: Bacterial small subunit ribosomal RNA
Source: RNAcentral